This 229-nucleotide ribosomal RNA is filed under the name uncultured bacterium. RNAcentral describes it as "partial 16S ribosomal RNA". It matches the Rfam family "Bacterial small subunit ribosomal RNA", at positions 107 to 334 of the family's 1533-position model. The record is from RNAcentral.
UGAGUAACACGUAUCCAACCUGCCGUCAACUCUUGGCCAGCCUUCUGAAAGGAAGAUUAAUCCAGGAUGGCAUCAUGAGUUCACAUGUCCGCAUGAUUAAAGGUAUUUUCCGGUAGACGAUGGGGAUGCGUUCCAUUAGAUAGUAGGCGGGGUAACGGCCCACCUAGUCAACGAUGGAUAGGGGUUCUGAGAGGAAGGUCCCCCACAUUGGAACUGAGACACGGUCCAA